GAACGCUGGCGGCGUGCUUAAUACAUGCAAGUCGUGCGAGAAAGCGGGGGCAACUCCGCAAGUAAAGCGGCAAACGGGUGAGUAACACGUAAGCAAUUUACCUCUAAAUUCGGGAUAACAUCGCCAACGCGGUGCUAAUACCGGAUGUGGUCCAGUGGGCAUAAGCUCGUUGGAUUAAAGGCGACCUCUCCAUGGAAGUUGCUGUUUAGAGAUGAGCUUGCGGACCAUUAGCUAGUUGGCGGGGUAACGGCCCACCAAGGCGAUGAUGGUUAGCCGGCCUGAGAGGGUGAACGGCCACAUUGGGACUGAGACACGGCCCAGACUCCUACGGGAGGCAGCAGUAGGGAAUUUUGCGCAAUGGGCGAAAGCCUGACGCAGCAACGCCGCGUGAGGGAUGAAGGUCUUCGGAUUGUAAACCUCUGUUGAGUGGGAAGAAACUUUUCCGGUCUAAUAUAUCGGAAGACUGACGGUACCAUUUGAGGAAGCCCCGGCUAACUACGUGCCAGCAGCCGCGGUAAUACGUAGGGGGCAAGCGUUGUUCGGAAUUACUGGGCGUAAAGGGAGCGUAGGCGGGAGAGUAAGUUGGAAGUUUAAUUCUUCGGCUUAACCGGGGACCAGCUUUCAAUACUGCUUUUCUUGAGUGUGGAAGAGGGAGACGGAAUUCCAGGUUUAGCGGUGGAAUGCGUAGAUAUCUGGAAGAACACCAGUAGCGAAGGCGGUCUCCUGGUCCAUUACUGACGCUGAGGCUCGAGAGCUAGGGGAGCAAACAGGAUUAGAUACCCUGGUAGUCCUAGCCGUAAACGAUGGACACUAGUUGCUGGAGGAGUCAAUCCCCUCAGUGACGAAGCUAACGCAUUAAGUGUCCCGCCUGGGGAGUAUGCUCGCAAGGGUGAAACUCAAAGGAAUUGACGGGGGCCCGCACAAGCGGUGGAGCAUGUGCUUUAAUUCGAUGCAACGCGAAGAACCUUACCUGGGCUUGACAUGGGAAUGAAAACUUCCAGAGAUGGAGGUCCUUCCGCAAGGAACAUUCUACACAGGUGCUGCAUGGUUGUCGUCAGCUCGUGUCGUGAGAUGUUGGGUUAAGUCCCGCAACGAGCGCAACCCUCGUCCUUAGUUGCCAUCAGGUAAUGCUGGGAACUCUAGGGAGACUGCCUGGUAUAACCAGGAGGAAGGUGGGGAUGACGUCAAAUCCUCAUGGCUCUUACGUCCAGGGCUAGACACGUGCUACAAUGGUCGGUACAAUGGGCUGCAAGACUGCGAGGUCAAGCAAAUCCCUUAAAACCGAUCUCAGUUCAGAUUGGAGUCUGCAAUUCGACUUCAUGAAGCUGGAAUCGCUAGUAAUCGCGGAUCAGCAUGCCGCGGUGAAUACGUUCCCGGGCCUUGUACACACCGCCCGUCAAGCCAUGAAAGAUGGGAGUACCCGAAGUCGUUUGCCCAACCGCAAGGAGGGCGACGCCUAAGGUAAGACCAUUAAUUAGGGCUAAGUCGUAACAAGGUA
RNAcentral lists this ribosomal RNA (1498 nucleotides) under metagenome. Its description in RNAcentral is "bacterial SSU rRNA". It matches the Rfam family "Bacterial small subunit ribosomal RNA". The record is from RNAcentral.